GAAUGUGGCAUCUAGAAUCAGAGUGACUGGGUCUAAAUUCCAGUCCUACCUACCACUGUGACCAUAAUGUCCCUGUGCCUCAGUUUUCUCAUCUGCAAAAUGGAACAACCGUUGAAGCCUGUCUUGUUGGGUUGUGAGGAUUCAAUGAGUUCAUGAAUGAAGUAGGACAAGUAAAAUGCUUAGGACUGUGCCUGGUACAUAGAAAGUGCUCAAUAUUGGCCAGUUUUAUUAUUGAAGUCUCAGUUUACAUGUUCUUUGGCAUCCCGUUACUGAAUAUUUUUCUAUUUUUAUGAACCAAGAUGAUGAUUUCCAAGUAGCUCUAGCUGUGACUUGGUGAGGUGAGGAUUUCCCUAAGCCACCCUCUACUGCAGAAAGUCCCACCUCCUGUGAUUUCCUUGAACCCCCUAGUUAUGAAUUGGGCAGCCUAAUGAAUCAGUUGUCUUUUCCUUCCUUAACUCUCUGCUAAGCUCUGCAGGCAGGAACAAUCCAGCAGGAAGAUCACUGAGCCAGGACUGAGGUGAUUUCUCAUCCCAGGUUUACCACUGACGUGUCAUGGGUCUUGAGUUCCUGUCCAAAUGGGAAAAAACAGUGCACUUGGACUUCAGAGUCAAGGGAGCUAUAUUUGAGCCAGAGUUCUACUAUGGCAGGGGUCCCCAGCUCCUGGGCCAUGGACUGGUACCAGUCCGUGGCCUGUUAGGAACCGGACCACACAGCAAGAGUUUCUUCCUCCAUGUUACUUACCGAUAUUGAAAGACCGCAUGCUGCUUUGAACAAGACGGGUGAUCAAUUGGAAUGUCU
This 798-nucleotide long non-coding RNA is filed under the name Homo sapiens (human). Its description in RNAcentral is "HSALNT0291451". The record is from RNAcentral. Lineage: Eukaryota; Metazoa; Chordata; Mammalia; Primates; Hominidae.